This 318-nucleotide ribosomal RNA is filed under the name uncultured bacterium. RNAcentral's name for it is "bacterial SSU rRNA". It matches the Rfam family "Bacterial small subunit ribosomal RNA", at positions 32 to 326 of the family's 1533-position model. The record is from RNAcentral.
AAUCAACGCUGGCGGCGUGCCUAACACAUGCAAGUCGAGCGGGAAAGGGGGCUUCGGGUCCCUGAGUAUAGCGGCGGACGGGUGAGUAACACGUGGGUAAUUUGCCCUUGGGUGUGGAAUAACGUCAGGGAAACUUGAGCUAAUACCGCAUGACAUCCCCUUCACACACGAGUUGGGGAUCAAAGCCGGGGACCCUUCGGGGCCUGGCGCCUGAGGAGAAGCCCGCGCCCGAUUAGCUAGUUGGNGAGGUAAUGGCUCACCAAGGCUUCGAUCGGUAGCCGGCCUGAGAGGGCGGACGGCCACACUGGGACUGAGACA